AGAUUCUCCUCAGCAGAAAUCAUUUACGGUAGUGAAGUUGGAGACAUGGGAGGCUGUUGCCAUAAUCCAAGAAGUGGACCGUGAACAGUGGUGGGAGGAGUGGACAAAGUGAAAACAUAUUAAGAAGGUAGAACCUAUUGCCUCAAUUUUCUGGGCAACUUACCAACCAGUUGGUGGUGUUACUGCACCUGUUUUCCAUGGCACAUGGUUCUGUUUUAUCUUUCUCCACUUCCUCCACUUCUCACUUUAUUCUCUAGUCUUCCCCCAUUGCCCUUCUGUGACUCAUGCCUGGUCUGUUACCCAUGACACCUGAGUCAUGGCUUGACUCUGACCAUCUUCCAGAGUUCAGGACCCUGAAGGCCCUGUGGGAAUAACACAAUCUGACAAAUGAGGGGUCUCAAAUGUAGAUGUCUGACUCAAUCAAAAACAGUAAACCACAAACCAAUCUCUAAUGAGGUACUGACGCUAAAAACCCCAACAGCAGCCAUUCCCACAUUUAAUCCUCCACCGCUGGAGAAGAACACACAAGAUAAACAAGUAACAGAUAAACCUGAGGGAGGGGAGAGAAUCAACAAUUGUAAUUAUUACAAUUCUUAACAAUCUGAUAGAAAUUGAUGCCUUUCACUAAACAAAUUCUAUGGUACCAGAUGACACAGUAGGGAAAAAUUUCAGUCAUCUAAGGAAGAUUAGUGAGUGGUGUGAUGAGGCCUGAGGACAGGAAUAUUGGACCUUAAAAACCUCAAAUCCCUGUGUCUAUCAUCCACAGAUGUUCAGUAACUGCCUGCCAGAGGAAUCGGUGGAAUACUGUUCACUACCAUGGAAAACCACUACCAUGGUUUCUUUUAUUGGAAGGCAGUAGGAAGUGGUGAUUAGAACAAACUGUGGUCAACUCUGCACCAUCCCCAGUUCCUUUGGAACUCUCCCUGGCAUCACAGGGGAGAAGCCUGGGAAUGUGUUUUUCAGAAUUCUUUGCCUGCAGAGGUCCAGAUUAGAUUCCCAGAUUAGACUCUGUCAGGUGAGAUGCACUCCCAUAAAAUUUAGAAACUGAAAGAGAAGAGAAAACACUCUUCUCUGGCAAUUGCUAGGACACUGGCAUUAGCAAGAAAAACACAUGGAAUUUUGCGGGCAGCUUCCAGGCGUCCAUCUCAGAAUCAUACAAUUUGUGCUGGAGAAAGUUGAAGUCACCAAUGUUGACAUUCCUGCAACUCUGGCCAGUCAAGAUUUUCUGAAAAUCAGGAGUGGCCUUCCUAGCCUUUGCUCCCAGAGUCCUUCCCAGAGUUGUAUAAGCCUAUAAUUCCCUGUGGCAAAUCCCUCCCCAGUCAGGGGACCUUAGGGUGGUUUCUGCUUUGCUAGAUGAAUGGAAACUGAUGCAGUGAUUACAAGGCUUGGGUACAGAAAGUGUGGGUGGAAUUGGAUCCAUAAUACUUGAGGGAACUUGUACAAAUUUCUUAAAUCCUUUAAAAAUCAUUUUCCUUGUUUAAAAAUGUAGGAAUAAUAAAAUUACACCUGUCUUUCUUAUGCAGUUUCAUCCAAACCCUUAUCAAGGAUUAAAUGAAUUCAGGCAUGUAAUAAAAGUACUUCACCCAGUGCCUAGGGAAAAUAAGCUUCUAAAAAUAUUAGCUUCUCACUUUAUAUAUAAAAAGAUAUAAUAAUAGCAGCUCAACAAAUAGCUGUUUCUCCCUUGUCCUUGUGGCUGCUUUGUCUUCUCCUUCGAAUAAAGUACAACAGAAGCCACAACUCAGAAUGCGCCACUGGGCAAAGAUAACGAAGGUGUGGUUUCUGCAACCCAAACUUUAAAAGAAUGAGCAAGAACUCUGGACAAUGCCAAUGACCUGUGGCAUGACUGAGACUGGAUGUGAUUACAGUAGAGCUCUAUCUGCUGCAACACAAAGUUUUUGAUGAUGAAAUAGAAGUUUGAGUGGAUGCUGGUUAGAGUACAAGUUGGGAGAGCUCAUACUUCUAAUUAUUGCUUUGUGCUCUGAGAAUCUGCUUCUUGGGGAACUUCCUUUCCUUCUAAUUUUCUGUAGGUAGGCAGUAAAUAUUCCAAAGAAGGAAGUCAGGAGACCAAAUGCAUUUGAAGAUGAUCAAUUAAUUCAAGAGAAGCAGUACCAGAUUGAUCCGACUUUAUCCUUAAGGAAGAAAAGACCUUAAUUGUGAACUCAUUAGAAGCCUCUCUGUGACAUUAACUUAAAGGAAUUACAAAGCUGAAGAGGAGCUGACUAUUUUGGCUCUGUGGUGGAAACUUUAAAUAUUUCAGAGCACUGUAUGUUACGGAGAAGCUUGGUGAAGUGGUCUGUUAGAGCGUGUGCAGAGGGACUUACAUUCCCACUGGGGGUCCCAGGUGAGGCAGUGAAGGAUGCUCUAGUCGUGGUCCUGCCCAGGAAGAAGCAAUUGGUACCGCAGAAUCCCAAUGGCUUCUGCUUAACCAGACUUAAGCAAAGUCAGACUUGGUUGUUUUUCACUGCAAGCAACAUCGCCAAGUCACUAGCUCCAUAAGGAAGGGGAACAAUGUGAAUUACUCCCCAGAGUAGAGCUUUACUAUGGUUCAGGAAAAGGUGACAGGGUGGCCCUCUGGGAAUGAGCUGAAAUGAUGGGCUGUCCUUUGAUUCUCAUGGGGGUUUCCUUACAGGGUACAAAGGCUUUCCUUAUACCCAUGUCAUCCAAGCUUCCUGAAAGCCCACCUUUUUCUUCUUUCUUUCUUUUCACGGAAACUUCCACUUAUUUUCAUUUCCCUAGCCUGUCGUUUCCAGUAGAAUUAAAAAAGCACUUUCAAUUAGCCAACUUAGAGACAGGAGCUGGCUUUCAUUUCUCCUUUCAUCCACUUCAAUUGUAGAAUGCAGGGAGGAUUCUCCCACUCUUUGAGAUGGAGACUCUGAAGACAAUACUUAGCUAAAGAGUGUAACCCCAAACCUAGUGCCCUAGUCACCAAGAUGCUAGUGUCUGGCAGGUCUGGCUCAUUGUCCACACAGAGGAGGCACAGAAAAGCAUCCAGUGAUAUAUGGGUAACUUACACAGGUGGUUCACAAGCUGAGAGACCUGCCCAGAUAACAGGGAGUGAUUCUGAAACUUCACCGCCAGAAAUCCCAGGCCUGGGUACAAAGAGGGACUGAGGAGUUCCCAUUGUGCCUCAGUGGGUAAGAACCCAACUAGUAUCCAUGAGGAUGCGAGUUCGAUCCCUGGUCUCAUUCAGUGGGUUAAGGAUCUGGCAUUGCCGUGAGGAGCCGUGUGCAUUGCAGAUGCAAAUGGGAUCCUAUGUUGCUGUGGCUGUGGGUGUGGCUAGUAACAUAGGUAGGACCGUACUGUGGCACUUCUCAGGGAGGGCAUUGUAUGCCUUACAGGGAAGCACAUUACUCCAAAUGGCUUUGAACUGCAUGGAUUGCUUUGUAAAUUAUCAUGUCAUCAGACUAGAGGUUACAAUAAUAAACUGUUUACAAUAAUGUUUAAAGUCUCAAGUCUAAGUUGAUAAGGACCAUAUCAUCUUUCUACCUCCACCAGACCACUGCACGGUUAGUCUACCCUUGGAGAUACUAAAAUCUUUCAUGUGUGAGGAGCUUUCAAAUUUACAAAGUGCUUUCACAUCAAUUUCUGACUUAAUUCUCACAAAACUCUGUAAGUCUAUCCCCAUUGUCCCCAUUUACAGAGGAGCACAUCGCCGUUCAGAGAGAUGAAGUGCCUUGGCUCAAGGUCAUACAGAAAUAGCAGACUCGACACCGAAGACUAUGUUUUCUGUCUCAGAAUCUAGCGUGCGUGGCUAUUAUGUUGUAACUUAAGGUAGAAUUUCACCUUCAUUUAUUUUCAUUUCUGAGGCAAACGUUCAUCCUGCUGUAUAUCCUACACACUUUCGCAUGUCCUCUUGUCUGGCUGUUAAGUAGGUAAUAACCACCUAAUCAACCUUGAUGACUCGAGUCUUAGAUAAUCCCUUCUGUCUACAGGAGUCACCGUCAUCAUCAAAAUAACUUUGAGAUUACUCUUGACAUUUAUAACCAGGAUUCAGUGAAUCCAUAGUAACAGAUAACUUGUAAGAAAUUGAAAAACAGCUAGUCUAGUGUUACUGUAGACAGAGAACUGGAUUAAGAAAAUGGAAAAUGAGCCCCCGGGUGUGUACAUUUGGGCAAGUCAGUGCCCUUCCCCGAGCUCAGUUUUCGCAUUUGACAUCCAGGGGUAAUGGAUUAGCACUAGAGCAUCCCUAACCUCUCACAAAGUAUGAAUCUGUCCUUUCUAGCUGAGAUCUAAAGGAAAGCUGUGAGUGCGGAGGCAAUGGGAGGCCAGCAGGAAUUAAGAGAAUGAAACAAGCUUCUGUCACCUCUGAUCCACCCUCCUAGGUUUCAGGUCACACAAAGUGAGGGCUGAGGCGAGGGGGAGGGGGAGGUCGGUACUUGGGGAGGUCCGAACUUGGGGAGCUCCUGGAGCCACCAUCAGAGGCCUUCUUGCACAGUCACACCUCAGCUAUGCAGCCAAGGCUUGAGUCUGUAGACACCCAGAAGGGGCUCCAGAAUCCCCAGAAAUGCUCUCUAUUGCCAGUAAGGUCUUCUUUACAAAUCUCCUCAACCACCCGCAUCAUCUAUGCCUUUCUCCUUUGCUUCCAGUUUCUAUGGUUGAAAAAUGUUUGAUGACAGGAGUUCCUGCUGUGGUGCAGUGGGUUAAGGAUCUGGUGUUGCCAUAGCUGUGGCAUAGGUCACAACUGCAGCUCAGACUCAAUCCCUGGCUGGGGAACUUCCAUAUGCCACAGGUGCAGCCAUAAAAAAAAAAAAAAAAAAAGUUUGAUGACCGUCAGUAGUGUAAUAGCCAACAAAGAGAAGCUGUUUGGCCAAGAUUAGGACCCAAACUUUAGGGACAUUCCAGGAAGCCUUUCUUAAGGUUCAGUCACAAUGGAGGAUGUCAUGGUUGAGUCUCGGCACCCACCCUAUCUUCACCAGAUGUUCACCAGCCCUGAGGUCUGGGGGCUUAGAUUCUGCUGCAAGCUCAAGUUCUGAGACACACAAGCCAAGGGUAGGAUUAUGGUGUUUUUCCCAUCCCUCUUGGUUUAGAGAUCUAGGCUUGGGCCAAUCAGCACAAGACAUUUGUCUGCGGGUGGGGAAGGAUUCAUGCAGGAAUUGACUCUUCUGGGCAAUCUCUUGUCUACUGCAUGACUUUGUCCAUUCGAGUCUGGCCAUACCAGCCUCCUUGUUUCUUUUUUUUCUUUCUUGUAUUUUUUUUAUGGCUGCACCCACAACACAUAGAAAUUCCUUUGCCAGGGACUGAAUCUAAGCCACAGCUGCGGUAGCUGCCAGAUCCUUUAACCUACCGCUCCUGGAAUCGAACCUGCACCUCUGCAGCCACCCGAGCUGUUGCAGUCAGAUUCUUAACCCACUGCACCACAGUGGGAACUCCUCCUGUUGUUUCCUGAACAUGAACGUGCCUGGAGGGUCUCUGUAUGUGCUGUUCCCUCCACCUGGAAUGGUUCUCCCCACAUAAUCAAAUGCUAACUUCUUCAUCUCCUUCAAGCCUUUGCUCAGGCAUCACCUUCUCUAUGAGACCUUCUCUGACCACCGUAUUUAAAGUCACAACCAACUCCCUCACCACUCUAUGUUUCUUGGUUUUCCUUCUCCCCCUCCAUUAUAUUUUUGAAACAUUCUAUAUAAUGUAAGUAGUUAUACAUUUAUCGUUGCAGGUUUCUUCUCCCUUGCAGAUAAGCCCCUGGUUCACUGCUUCACCCUGAAUGCUCCCCAUAACACCUGUGUGCUGUGGUCAACACACAGUGCCUUCUCUUCAUUGCACCUUUUUGUGAUUGAUCACAAUCUUGAUCCAUUUUACCUGGGUAGACUUUACCUACCUAAAAUUUUAUGAGGUUCAAAUAUGGAGUAUAAUAAUUACAUCAUCACAAUCAUUGCUCAUCUGAUAGGGACAAUUUUGAGAGUAAACAGAGAAGCUAUUAGUAUUUAUGGCAUGACAAUGAUUUAAACAGACAUUGCCGCGGAUGAACCUAUUUGCUUAGGGUCAUCCUAUUUAUUUGGGCACAUGGUCCAGCCAGCAAAAGUGAGGAACCAGGGACCAAGGCAGGGAAAGAGGGAGAACAAAUGCAAAGAUCUCUGAAUGAGUUGCCUCCUGCUCUGGGAGCCUGGCUGCUGGCCCCAGAAGACAGUCUGCAGGGCCAUAAGCAAUGGGUCUCAGGGUUCCUGUGGGGCCCCUGCUGAGAGCCUCCUAAGAAGCAGCACAUGUGAAUCACUAGGAAGAGGUCAUUGCAGGAGUGAUAGCUCUAAGGGGCAGAUAAAGCCAAGAGAAGAGAAGCGGUGGAUCCCUGGAGCCAACACAGGGCUUUACACGUUGCAGUGUGAGAUGCUGUGCAACCUCUCGCUGGAGGAAACUAUAAAGGACCAAGAAGAUGAGGAGCUUGUCCAAUGUGAUAACUAUAAAUACUUCCAUAGGCUGUUAAUUGAUCUCCAGACUUCCCUUUACAUUCUAUACCAAUUCUUUAACAAACAAAAAAAUAUGCACCUCUCUUGAGUCCAUGCAUGGUUGUUCUGUGUGGUGUGCAGGAAAUAACUUUGCUUUAAAGAGUUUCCUUUGAUAGUUUCUUUCUCCCCAUGGAUAAGAUGGCUUUCUCCUGGAGACAACACCAUAAAACAAAUCUUUCCAUGGCUGAGCUAUUGUGUCCUUUCCUGGUGCUGUAGUCUUUCCACCUCCUUUUCUCUCAUCCACCCUCCCUUUCUCUGCCCUCUUGCAGGCUACACAUGAUGAAGAGAUGAGGCCUGGGGAGUCAUAAAGGGUUAGGGCCCGCAAUGCCUGGGCAAGAGCUAUGAUGAAGCUUUUCCCCGAGGAGCUGAAAUGAAUCCCAAGUCUCCCAUAGCAUUUGGAUUCUCAAGCUUUCAAAAAUGCUACAUCAGCAUGGGCCAGGAACAACACAGAUGAUCUCUAUUUGGUCUAAAUAUAAAAUAAAUUUAAAGAAAUCCAUUGUGAUAAAAUUAAAAUAUGGAACCCCUGGGCAUUCUAAAGGGCUACCUAGAGGUUUGCUAUGGAAAUUCUAUGAGAUAUUGUUCUUUGAGCUUUAGUAUUAUCAUAAAAAUAGUGGGUCCCUGCAAGUGGCUGCUUUUCUCUCUCUGAAAGGACAUAGGUAGAAUUUAGCUGUACAGUUUGGGGGAAAAAACAGAAUUUUAGGGAGGUAGAUGGAUUUGGAGGUGUAUACAAAUUCCAUAAAGAUUUAUUUAUAGGCGAUCUGCAUAUGCCUGAACUUAAGCGCCAGCUGGGGAAAAACAGAACCUCGAUGUGAGAAAAAAAAAAGGCUCACUGGGCCCAGUGAUCAGAGGCUGACACCAAUCCUGAGGCCAUGGACCUCUUGUGUUGGGACCUCAGGCCUCCCCCAGACAGAGUUUGUGAGGGAGACUGCAAGCCAUGCACCAGGACCCAAGACUUGACACAGCAGCCCAGUCAGAAUAUAUGCUCAACUCUUCAGGCAAAAUUCCACAGACCUAUCCCCUUAGGCAAGUCUAGACCUAUUCUGGGCAGGAAAAAAUAUUCAUUCACAGUAACACAUUCUCCCCUUACACGCACACACAACCCUGGAGAUCUGAAGAGAAAACUAUUUAAACAGUACAUUAAGAGGAAAAAUUAGAAACUAUUUCACAAAGAGAAGGAAACAAUUUUAUAGUUGGAACAUAUAAAUUAGGAGGCAUUCUCUCUAAUUUUACAGGGAAGAGGAGUCCCUCUUCACAGACUCCAGAAACUUUUUUUUUCUGCCUUCUUCACCGAGCAAUUCUGUCCUUAAACAAUUUUGCUUCUUUCUCAAACCUAUCUUGCAAACUCGACCCAGCAGUUAUGAGAACUACCCUCUCUCCUAAUGGAGGACAUAUUCAGAGGAAUCCAUAAAAGUACCCUGCUCCUGUUUUUAUUUGUCUCUUCUGUUCUGUAACCUCAGACAUACAGCAGAAUCAUCCUCAAGAAUCAUUUUGCAAUAUUCCUUAUGAAGAAAUUCAAUC
RNAcentral lists this long non-coding RNA (7952 nucleotides) under Sus scrofa (pig). Its description in RNAcentral is "lncRNA (ENSSSCG00040023978.1)". The record is from RNAcentral. Lineage: Eukaryota; Metazoa; Chordata; Mammalia; Artiodactyla; Suidae.